RNAcentral lists this ribosomal RNA (253 nucleotides) under uncultured bacterium. Its description in RNAcentral is "partial 16S ribosomal RNA". It matches the Rfam family "Bacterial small subunit ribosomal RNA", at positions 524 to 776 of the family's 1533-position model. The record is from RNAcentral.
UACGAAGGGGGCAAGCGUUGUUCGGAAUCACUGGGCGUAAAGCGUGCGCAGGCGGGUCAUUAAGUCAGAGGUGAAAUCCCAGGGCUCAACCUUGGAAUUGCCUUUGAUACUGGUGGCCUAGAGUUCGUGAGAGGGGUGUGGAAUUCCUAGUGUAGCGGUGAAAUGCGUAGAUAUUAGGAGGAACACCAGUGGCGAAGGCGACACCCUGGCGCGAUACUGACGCUCAUGCACGAAAGCGUGGGGAGCAAACAGG